AUUUUUUUGCCUAAAAUUCAUUUUUUUUUUGUUUGACUACAGUUCUCAUAUUUUACUGUAUCAAAAUUGUUGGUGUUGUUUUCUAGACAUUAUUACUAAUGUUUUAAUUGUAAGGGAGAUUUGCAAAACUACCCUUUUUUUAACUACCCUUUUGCAACAAUAUCCUUUUAUGUUGUCCAUUUUUAAAAAUACCCCUUCCCUUGAACAAAAUGACCAAAUUAACCUCAUUUAAUAGAAACAUGUAAUUGAAAACUGAACUUUUUCCGCCAAUUUUUUGGCGCCAAAAUUUUUUUUCCCGCCAAAAAAAACAUUUUCCGCCAAAUUUUUCCUCAAGAAAAAAAAAGAUUUUAAAAAUCCUUGUAAAUAUUUUUUGGCGGCAAAUAGAUUUACAAGGGAUUUUAAAAGGGUUUUAAAAGAUUUACAAGAGAUUUUAAAAGAGUUUUAAAAGAUUUACAAGAGAUUUUAAAAGGGUUUUAAAAAAUUUACAAGUAAUUUUAAAAGGUUUUAAAAUCCCUUGUAAAUCUUUCAAAACACUUUUAACCCUUUAAAAAGCUUUACAAAUCUUUUGUAAAUCUUUUAAAGCCCUUUAAAAUCCCUUGUAAAUAUUGUAAAACCCUUUUAAAAUCCCUUCUAAAUAUUUUAAAAUCCUUUAAAAACAAUUUUAAACUCUUUAAAAAUCUUUAAAUGACCUUUGUAAAUCUUUUAAAUCUCUUUAAAAUUCCUUGUAAAUCUUUUAAAAACCUUUUAAAAUCCUUUGUAAAUCACCCUUUUAAAAUCCCUUGUAAAUCUUAUAAAACCCCUUUAAAAUCUCUUGUAAAUAUUUUAAAACUCUUUUAAAAUCCCUUGUAAAUCUAUUUCCCUUCAAAAAAACAAAUUGGCGGGAAAAAUAUUUUUGAAAACAAAAUUUGGCGGGAAUUUUUUUUUCGAAAUUUUUUGGCGGGAAAGUUUUGGCCGGAAAUUUUUUUUGAAAUACUUUAGGCGACAAAAUAUUAAUAUUUUAUUUUGUUAACUUAAAACAAUUUCUAAAUAAGGGUAAAAUGGUCAUUAAAAAUUUAAAGAGGGUAGAAAUAAAAAUGGAUAAAACAAAAGGGUAGAAUUGAAAAGGGGCAUCAUGAAAACGGCAGUAGAAAGAAUUUUUCUAAUUGUAACUGGUUCAAGAAAGAUAUUUUCUAUAAUGAAAGAAAUCUUAU
This 1190-nucleotide small RNA is filed under the name Arabidopsis thaliana (thale cress). Its description in RNAcentral is "ATSL156250". Lineage: Eukaryota; Viridiplantae; Streptophyta; Magnoliopsida; Brassicales; Brassicaceae. The record is from RNAcentral.